RNAcentral lists this ribosomal RNA (465 nucleotides) under Vreelandella stevensii. RNAcentral's name for it is "partial 16S ribosomal RNA". It matches the Rfam family "Bacterial small subunit ribosomal RNA", at positions 338 to 795 of the family's 1533-position model. Lineage: Bacteria; Pseudomonadati; Pseudomonadota; Gammaproteobacteria; Oceanospirillales; Halomonadaceae. The record is from RNAcentral.
CCUACGGGGGGCAGCAGUGGGGAAUAUUGGACAAUGGGCGAAAGCCUGAUCCAGCCAUGCCGCGUGUGUGAAGAAGGCCUUCGGGUUGUAAAGCACUUUCAGUGGGGAAGAAAGCCUUGGGGCUAAUACCCUCGAGGAAGGACAUCACCCACAGAAGAAGCACCGGCUAACUCCGUGCCAGCAGCCGCGGUAAUACGGAGGGUGCGAGCGUUAAUCGGAUUUACUGGGCGUAAAGCGCGCGUAGGCGGUCUGAUAAGCCGGUUGUGAAAGCCCCGGGCUCAACCUGGGAACGGCAUCCGGAACUGUCAGGCUAGAGUGCAGGAGAGGAAGGUAGAAUUCCCGGUGUAGCGGUGAAAUGCGUAGAGAUCGGGAGGAAUACCAGUGGCGAAGGCGGCCUUCUGGACUGACACUGACGCUGAGGUGCGAAAGCGUGGGUAGCAAACAGGAUUAGAUACCCCUGUAGUC